GGAGAUGUGGCUCAGUGGUAGAGCACUUGCCUGACAUGCAGGAUGCCUGGGGUUUGAUCCUCAGUACUACA
Molecule: transfer RNA, 71 nt
Filed under: Ictidomys tridecemlineatus (thirteen-lined ground squirrel)
Lineage: Eukaryota; Metazoa; Chordata; Mammalia; Rodentia; Sciuridae
Description: Spermophilus tridecemlineatus (thirteen-lined ground squirrel) tRNA
Rfam family: tRNA
About the family: Transfer RNA (tRNA) molecules are approximately 80 nucleotides in length. Their secondary structure includes four short double-helical elements and three loops (D, anti-codon, and T loops).
Source: Rfam by way of RNAcentral